GAAGAGAGAAACUGAGAGAUCUUAUGCUUACUUUAAAAGGGAUUGUUUUCAUCAGAAAAACAACUACUGGAGGGCAUGCCAUGAAUUGUGGGGGUGGGUCUUAUCCUAAACUUAAAGGCAAACAUCUCAUGAGUUGAACUCAAGGUGCGUGAAAUUCAUGCUGAACUGCUGCUUUUCAAGUCUGACUGGAUAAAUUCACAAGGAGUGGGAGCCCCAAAAGGGAUGGAAAUAUAUCAAACUUAGGAGGAAUGCUAAAAGCUUCACCCUGAACAAGCAUAUUGUCCCUUCUGGUCCAUAUAAAAUGCAGCUACUCAGGACAUGACAACUUACAGAUAGCAGGCCAGAUCCAGCCUUCAGAGCCUUUGGAUCUAGCCCCCUGAGCUCCCUUCACCGUAUUGCAGUGAGCUGCCUCAAACUUACUCAUGGCUCCAACUGUGGACUACAAAUCCCAGAGGCACCUGGAAGCAGGAAGAGGAAAUGAUGAGCAACCAUGUAGAGUUCUGCUGCUGUAAUUCUGGACUGCAAAUCCCAGAGCCCUUGGGAGCAGCAGGAGGAGGAAGCAAACACACAGCCCAUGCUAGCUAUAUGCCAGAGACCCACACUCUAGCAUCCCCCAAUUUCUGGCCUGAGACACUACAGGCAUAUGGCUGCAUUUCCUGAAUCCAAAGUGACUGUCUGUCCAGUUGUUUCUUGAUUUAAUGUCUGCAGCUUAGACUAACCCACCCCUACUCUAUCGCAUUCUAUUCUUGCAUUCUAGAAACCUAUCAUUAAUGAGCUAAGAAUCCCUUGCAUACACAUUCAUUGUCAUAGAUGUUCAUUUUUCCCUUGAUUAAGAUUUCACAUUUUUUGAAAGGGCAGUCCUGUAAUAUUUUUUUAGAAUCUAUAUUUUGUCUGUUGGUUAAAGGAUUCCAUAUGACUUGUUUACUUCUCUUCAAGAGAUUGAUAUUUGGAUUUGUUAGGUGGCAAUGGACGGAUGCUGUAAAAUACUUUUUGGCAAUCUACAAAUGAAAUCACUUUUCCUGCGCUCCCGCCCCUCUUUCUGUUUGCUUUCUGCAAACAUUAGAAUGAUCGAGUUUUACUUGCAUGGAUGCUCAUGGAAAGCAAAUUUUAAGCUUGCACGCUCGAAUACUGCCAUAUAGCAGAAGUGCCAGGUUGAGAUGACAAAGCUAUGCUGGUGCCUUGAGCCUAAACUUGCUUAAUGAGGGACAAAAUUCUUCACCCACUGCUGCUGCGACCAUUUCUCUUCAUUGUGCUCUCUGCAAUUAGUAUGUUUAAAAGGGACAAUGCUUGCCAUUCCUAGGGGCAGAGUUUUCCAAAAACUCUAUGGCCCUGGCACAUGGGAAAUUACACAAAGAUCUGAUUGUGCCUUUAGCAACUAUAAUUGUGCAUGUACAUCCAAUUUUUUGAGGUGAAUGUGACGAAAAUGAAUAAUUCUGCACCCAGACAACAAAUCUUACAGAACCAUAAUGUUGGUUGGACUAAAGCCUUAGGUAGUCUGUCUAGCCCUCUUCUGCAAAUUAUGAAAUGUGGUGAUAGUGCUUAUCUGGGAAAAUCUAUGCCUCUGACUUCUCUGCUUGAAAAAAAAGUUAUGCCUAUCUGGUUAGCUGCUGGAAACAAGGGAAUGUGGUUUCUAUCAUUGUUUAUAACUAAUGUAACCCAUAUUUUGAAUACUAUGCAGCAAACAUGCAGCAAAUUGUUUGGUCAUCUAAGAAGUAAAAUAAAUAAAUAAACUGGUCAAGUGCAUUUGAAUUGCAGAUAAAUCUGAGGAAAUCACAGUCUAUAUGCCUAUAUUCAGUGAACAGAAGAAAAAAGCUGCACAGGAUGGGCAAAUUGUCAGGGGGAAAGGGAACAUCAGUUUUCAGGAGGAAAUGGUUUAAAAUAAAUGUCACAUGGUGAGUCGAAGCUGGAAGGCAGAUACUGAGUUUCAACUUUACAACGCUUGAUCUGAUGUGAUGCCACGCCAGUGAACAAGUUGCUGUGUCACCCAUCUCCCUGGAGAACACCUGUCCAAACUUCCUUGGAUACUUUCUUUAAGAAAGCAGACAAGACUCCAGAAGAACCUGCAGCCAAGACUCCUGAGAAGACUGCAGCCAAGAGCCCUUCAAAAAGUCCAACCAAGAGCCCUUCAAAAAGUCCAGCAAAGUUACCUCAAAGAAGUCUUUCCAAAUCAAUAUGAUUGCUAUUUACAACAUAAAUACAUUAAUGUAGCUAUAUUACUCAUCUAUAAUUGAUUGAGUACAAAAUUCUGGGUUAUUUUUUAUGAUAACAGGGUAUCAGGCCUUGGCUCAAGAACCAAUCCCCAAUUUAUAACAUUGUUUCCUAUAGGAAAAUCAGUUCCGAGUUACAAUGUUUCGACUUAAGAUGCCAUUUUCAGGAACCAAUUGUGUUGUAAGUCCCUUGACUGCCUGUAAUCUGGUUUGCUGAGAACGGAAUUAGAAGUCACAAACCUGGAUUCUCUUCUAAUGUAUGCUAUGGAACAAAUCCUUUAGGCCUAAUGAUCAAAAUGCUCUUUAAUUUUAGACAGUUUUAGUUCUUUUUUGAGUGCCAGUUUGAAGAAUCUAUUGAGCACAUGAAAAUGGCUUCAACUUUGGUCUCAGUUUUCUGCUCCCCCCCCCCGCCCCACAACACACACACACACACACACUCUUUAUUCAAAUCCAAAAUGAAGGGCUUUCCCUCCAGGCUGAAAGGGAAAAAAACCCACCUCAUCUUUGAUUAGAGUAAAUACAGUACACACACGCGCACACACUUACAGAGUAUAUAGUGGUGAAGAAUGCUUCACAUUCAAAAUCUUGUCUAAGUCUAUCCCAACCAUGCAGUUGGUCCAAUAAAAGAUAUAACCCACAAAUAUCCUAGUCUUGUAUAAAAUUGGUAUGUGUAUGCACACAUACAUGUUACAUUUUAGAUAUUUUAAUGCAAAAAAAAAAUAAUGUAUAAUUUAAAAUCCACAUUCUGCAUUAUCAGGAAAGGAGGUGUGAAAUACUCAUGUCUCCAGGAUGUCAGCACAUUUGAAUCAAAGGAUUAGCGUAGUUCAUGAGAAUGAAAUUGCAUAUUCAGAACAAAAUGACUUGAUUUCCCUCCAGACUUGAGUCAUUUCGUGUGACACCAGAACAUCAAGGUGAAAAAAAUAACUUUAAAAGUAUUUUGAUUGAUUAUAGAUAUUUUUGGCAUGGAGCUUUUCCCCUUUCCCCUUUGGAAAGCAAGUCAAAAUGGGGGUGGCCAUAAUAACCCUUCUUAUAAAAAAAAAAAAAAAAAAGAAAGCAUUGUGUUCUGUUGAAGUAGUUGACUUUGAUUUAAGAAGCUGGUGAACCGUGGCUUCAAUAGGUUUUUAGAAACCCUUGGCAUCUUGCCAUCAGCAACAUGGCUUUUCUCCUUCUGUGAUUCAGAUGUGGGAAAUGGGAAUCCAAUAAGAAAAUAAGACAGUUCAUUCAUGUUGCAGUGUGUCAUAAACUGACACCAGUGAAUAUCGUGUGACAAGCCCUAAGUGACAUAAUGCGAUGUGAUGCAUCAAAACUACAUCAUGUUCAAAACCCAACAAAAAUGAUUAUCUGCAACAGUUUGAAUUAACUGUGGAUGGAUAGAAUCUGUGAGUCAUUUGCCAGAGCUAUGACUUUAUUAGAAAUGUUGCUGCUCCUAUCCAAAAUACUCAGCUUUCAGUAUGAUUAAAGUUGAAUAGAAUGUAUGUGAUGUCUGAGGUUUCUGGUUUUAGGUUAAAACCAAAUAAUACCCAAUAAAGUGAAGAAAAAAUAUGUUAGAUUUUCAAAAGAAUACAUUGAAAAUAUCCCAUACGUAUCAUGUUUUAUUCCAAUGCUGAAAAUUGUUUCUAGAAGGAACCAAAAGCCCUGUAUUAUGCACACCAAUUCAUCCUCAGGAACAUGGCCCUUCAAGAUUUCCCUCUGAAAAUUUACAAAUGACACCAUGCAAUUUAAAAUAUGUAUUCUGCAUUAUUGUUGAAAGAGAUAUGAAAUGCUCAUGUAGAUUUUCAGCACAAUUGAACCAAAGCAUAAGCAAAAUUUCCUGGGUCUGAAAUUGCAGUUUCAGAACAAAUCACCUGACAUGUAUCAGUACGGUACACACUGACAAUUUUUCUUUUUUUUAAGAAAAACAGUUCACAACAGUUCGCUAUGUUAUGUUUUUCUACCAGUGGACAAUGACAAUCAGAGUAACCCUCAAAACAGAAUUCCACUGUCUGAAAAUGAGUUGUGAGCCCUGAAAUGCAUCUACUUUUGUGAACAUAGCUCUCCAGUGUGGGACCACUGAUAUAAUGAAGUGGUGAGUCAGGCCCUGUGAGACUUGCUUUCUAACUUGUAACACUUGUAUAGAGAAUAUACUAUCACUUGUUUGCCCAAAUCCAAAACCUUUUGAACUUAUAAACAAGAGCCUUUUAAAUAUUGCAUACUUGUAGAACUGUCAUUACCUCUCUAUUCUGGCUGGGCUCCGUGGUUGCAAAAGAGUGAUGAAAUCCUUAGGGGUUAUUUUAUAGCAGUGGUUUUCAACCUGUGGUCUGUGGAUCCCUGGGGGUCUGCAGACUAUGUCUAAGGGGUCCACAAAAGAUCAAUCAAAAGUAUGUGAAUACCGACACUUACAAUUCAAAGGGGUCCACACCUCCAUUUGAAAUUUCCAAAGGGGUCUGCACCUGCAUUUGACAUUUUUUUAGGGGUCAGUCUGAAAAUGAAAAAAGGUUGAAAACCACUUGUCUAUAGUCCUACAGCCCAGACUAAAUCCUGUCUUCUCUGUUAUGACAUUACCCUCACAACCUUAUAUGUAGGGACCUACCAAAUUCACAGGCCCCAACAGCCAAUCACAUGGCUGUAACAUGGCCAGGGCCCUUGAUUUCAUUUCCGUAUCAUGGCCAGGACUGCCAUUUUGAAGGUGGGGCAAAGUACCCCCUCCCUAGCCCUCUGAUUGGCUGAGGAAUGCUGCAAGUCCCACCCCUCCCUGGCAUUGAGUGAAAGCCCUAGUUGAAGCUGUCUGGAUUGUUAAUUCAGUAAUUAUUACCCUUUUCAAGGGGCAGAGGACCAUAAUUACUGAGUAAAUAAACAGUUUAAGUGUGGCAAUUAAACAAUGCCCAUACCAAAUUGAAAUGUAAAGCUAGCUACCUGGCUAGCAGGAGAAAGGGAGUUUUGGUGGGCUUUUCCCUGCUCCCCUUCUCCUCCCUUCCCCUUCUGGAAACAGAGAGAUGGGAACUUUUCCUGUCUCUCUCUCCUCUCCCCGUCCCCCUCCCCCUUCCUCUCCCCGUCCCCCUGCCUGCCUCCCUCCCGCCUCCCCCCCACUUUCAGGAGAUGGGCAGUCUGCCUUUUUUGCCCCUUUGUUCCCUUCUGCCUCCCCCCGUGCUUCUAGGAAACAGCUUUUUGUCAGCUCUUUACUAGCUUUUUUAACAUAGCCAGUUCCCUGCACUUUUUCACGGGGAACUGGCUAUUUCACAGGAGACUGCCAAUUACACGAUUUCACAGAAAUCGUGUAUUUGGUAGGUCCCUACUUAUAUGGUAAUGUGUGAGUCUUGUAGUACCUAGUGUUCUUAAAGCAUCACUCCUUGGAGAUAAAUGUUGAAAUGAGAAUCUCAGUUUUAAUUAGAAAAGGAAAUAUCUAGAUACCACAAGUGGCCUCUAAAGGGUUAAAAACCUGGGAGUAAACAGAAAGAACUCCAACUUAAAAUAAUUUGCUGAUUUUUUUUGCCAAUCUAAAAGUGGAAAGACCCAUUGUUGAUUCAGUAAUCUCUCUAUCUUCAUGUUACAGUACAGAAUACAAUUCUCCCCAUGUAAGCAACACCUAGUAAAAGGUUGGAAAAAAUGAAUGACACACAGAGAAAGUGAAGCUGCCAGACAGCUCCAGAACAAAAACAAUCUGUUGAGUAAUAUGGGCUUGUUGUGGGCAGACACAAUUCUAAGGUCCCUCAGGGAAACUGGAAAUAUAGGUCAGGAAGGCACAGGACAUAGCUUGUCAGGACACCUGUAAGUGCUCCAGACCACAAAGGAUAUUUCUGUCUCAUCCAUCCUCAGUCCUCUCUCCUUCUUUUCAGUAGACCUGAGGGCAUUAGUGCACUCCCAAGGAUUUUGUAUAAAUCAUAAUUCUCUGGAGGUCCUUCACAGGGUGUGGGGGGAGAGAGAGAGAGAGAGGGAGGGAGAGAGGAGGAGGAGGAGGAGGAUGGUUUGGGAUCAGCAGAGGAAGUUUAGGGAAUUCUUUAUGCCAUAGCUAGGCAUAGAGUGGCUCAGCGGUCCUCUGCUAGGGGAGCCUGACCAUCCUGAAGCCCAACCAAGCCACUAUGGAAUCUCUAUCCACAGCAAUAUAGUAUUAAUGCAUGCCUAAAGUUUUAAAAUUCAUAUUGUUCCUACCAGGUUGACUUAAACACUGCAUAACCACUAUCAAGGUGAAACUAGUUGCCAUGUGCAUUAAGGUGGCUACAUUGUUUUUGAUUUGGGGGUUAGCAUAUGUGGAGCAGGAAUGACACACUCUUCUAAAUUUAUCCCUGCAUCCACUCCUGUUCUUGUGCUCAGAUAUGGCUAAAUAAAGGCCUUUGAUUAUGUGUGCUAGUGCCCUGAAAUUGUCAUGGGGUUGGGCCCUGGUUCUGUGGGCAGCAGCUCUUCUGAGCCCACCCUUAGGUACUGACACAUGGAAUUCAACCAGCAGUAACCCAUAUCUAUGGACCUGGAGGGAGGCAGAGAUCUGAAACCCACUGAAAUGCCCUGGUCCAUGUAAAAUGUCCGGGGGUGAGGCAGGCUGAGUAUUGCCAUUGCUAGGAAGGGUGGGAGUGGGAGGUGGAUCAGGUUUCCACUCACCGCUCUGCAUCUGUGAAUUAGGCCUUAACUAGGGUUAUUUCAAACUGGCUCAGCCACUGAGCACCUUAAUUGGCCCAUCAAUCCUUAACUGGGCCACUGGCCCAUACACAAUUGCUGUGGUCCAAGCACAGUGCCACCAAUUCUCACCCUCUGUUGUACAGAACAGAAUGCCCCUUCCUUUCUGGUAUAUUCCAGGGUUGAGGGGCUAUCUGUACUGAUUGCCAGCCCCAUACCUGAGCAUUUCUCCAAUCCAUGCCCCACCCCUAUAACACCAAGUCACCCCUGAGCCAUACGCCAACCCCAGGGCCAUGCACCACCCCAGAGCUUUGAGCACUCAACCAUCACCCUUUCCUCAGAAAUUGCUGAAACUUACUAAUAACUGGUGCUGGGUUGCCUGUGUCUGCCUGCUCCAUGAGGGUAUCGUCCAAACUGUCCCCAUCUUGUGUGUCCUGGGUCUGAGUCUAGGUAGAGAAGAAGGGUACUAAGCAGCAUCCUCAUGCUCCCUCCUGGCCGUUUCAGUAGCAGGUGGCAGAGAGGGGACUCCACUGUCAUUUUUUGUCAUCAUUGUCAUAGCAUCAUUGAAAAUGAGGAUUGAAAGAGACCUCAGGAGGUCAUCUAGUUUAACCCCUUGCUCAAGACAGGACCAUCUUCAACUAGAUCAUCCCAGCCAAAGCUUUGUCUAACCAACCUUUGUCUUAAAAAUCUCCGAAGAUGGAGCUUCCACCAUCUCUCUGGGUAACCUGUUCCAGUAGUGAGAUUUUUUUUCCUAAUAUCUAACCUAAACUUCCCUUGCUGCAACUUGAGACCAUUGCUCCUUGUUCUGUCAUCUGCCACCACUGAGAACAGUCUAGCUCCAUCCUCUUUGGGACCACCCUUCAGGUAGUUGAAGGCUGCUAUUACAUCCCCUCUCAGUCUUCUCUUCUCUAGACUAAAUAAGCCCAGUUCACUCAGCCUCCCCUCAGAAGUCAUGCGCCCUAGCUCCCUAACCAUUUUUGUUGCCCUCUGCUGGAGUCUCUCCAAUUUAUCCACAUCCUUUCCGUAUUUAAUUUUGGGCCCUCCAUUACAAUACUCCAGAUGUGGCCUUGCCAGGGCUGAAUAGAGGAGAAUGAUCACUUCCCUUGAUUUGCUGGCAAUACACCUACCAAUGUAGCAUGGUAUGCCAUUAGUCUUCCUGGCAACAGGGACACACUGCUGGUUCACAUUCGGCUUAUUGUCCACUGAAACCCCCAGCUCUUUUUCUGCAGAGCUGCUGCCCAGCAAAUCGACUCCCAGCCUGAACAGGUGUGUGAGACUGUUCCAUUCUAAGUGCAAGACUUUGCACUUGUCCUUGUUGAACAGCAUGAGAUUUCUUUUGGCCCAAUCCUCCAACUUGCCUAGGUCACUCUGAAUCCUAACCCUACCCUCCAGUGUAUCUACUACUCCCCACAGCUUGAUGUCAUUUGCACAUUUGCUGAGGGUGCACUCUAUGCCAUCUCCCAGGUCAUUGAUAAAGACAUUGAACAAAACCAGCCCCAGGACUGACACCUGGGGAACUGCACUUGAUACCGGCUGCCAGCUAGACAUUGAACCAUUGAUUAUUACCCUCUGAGCCUGAUGCUCCAGCCACUUUUCUAUCCACCUUACAAUCCAUUCAUCCAGCCCAUACUUCCUUAGCUUGCCUCUGAGAAUGUUGUGGGAGACCAUACCAAAAGCCUUUCUAAAAUCAAGGUAUACCACAUGCACUGGUCUCUCCAUGUCCACAGAACCAGUCAUCUCAUCAUAGAAGGCAAUCAGGUUGGUUAGGCAUGACUUGCCGUUGGUGAAUCCAUGCUAACUGUUCCUAAUUAACUUCUUCUCCUCCAAGUGCUUAGAAAUGGAUUCCUUGAGGAUCUGCUCCCUGAGUUUUCCAGGGACUGAGGUGAGGCUGUCUGGUCUGUAGUUCCCUGCAUCCUCCUUUUUCCCUUUCUUAAAUAUGGGCACUGUGCCCUUUUCCAGUCAUCCAGGACCUCUCCUGAUUGCCAUGAGUUUUCAAAGAUGAUGGCCAGUGGCUCUGCAAUCUCAUCAACCAACUCCCUCAUCACCCUUGGGUUCAUUCCAUCCAGCCCCAUGCACUUGUAUAUAUGUCCCAUGCUGCUUUUUCUAAAUAGUCUUUCACCAUUGUUUGCUGCUUACCUCCUCCCCAAACUGUGCUGCCAGGUGCAGUAGUGUGGGAGAUGACCUUGCAUAUUAUGACUGAGGCAAAAAAGGUAUUGAGCACUUCAGCCUUUUCUGCAUCCUCUGUCACAAGGUUGCCUCCUCCAUUCAGUAAGGGACCCACACUUUCCCUGACCCUCCUCUUGCUACUGACAUACUUGUAGAGACCCUUCUUGUUACCUGUCAUGUCCCUUGCUAGCUGCAACUCUAAUUGGACUUUGGCCUUCCUGACUUCAUCCUUGCAUGCCUGAGCAAUACUCUUAUACUCAUCCCUAGUUAUUUGUCCAAGUUUCUACUUCUUAUAAGCUUCCUUUUUGUGAUUUAGUUCACUGAAGAGUUCCCUGCUAAGCCAAGCUGGUCUUCUGCCAUACUUGCUAGUCUUUCUCCAUAUCAGGAUGGUUUGUUCCUGCACUCUCAGUAAGGCUUCUUUAAAGUACAGCCAGCUUUCCUGGACUCCUCUUGCCAGUGCUGCCCCAUCAGACUGCCUUCCCAGGGGAUCCUACCCAUGAGUUCCCUGAGCGAAUUGAAGUCUGCUUUUCUGAAGUCCAGGGUCCUUACUUUGCUGCUUUCCAUCUUUCCUUUCCUCAGGAUCCUGAACUCGAUCAUCUCAUGGUCACUGCUGCCCAUGUUGCCAUCCACUACUACAUUCCCCACCAAUUGAUCCCUGUUUGUGAGCAGCAGGUCAAGAAGAGCAUGGCCCAUGUCAUAACACCAUAGCCCCCUGGGCAUACAGUUUGUGGUGUAGUGGGGAGCAGUGGUGCAGUCCUCCCCAAGGAUCCUUGACAGCUCUUCACAGAAAGGGACCCUGGUCUUUAUGGCACCCAAGACAUUCUUUGCGUCCCUGACCCCUGCCCUGAACAUACUGCCAGUCCUGAUGGUGCCCGAGUCACCGAGCCACCAUGCAUAGAUUAUCUGGUUUUGUUGGCUAUCCUUCAUAUCCUUGGCAGCGGUAUCAAUGGUUCUCUCCUUACCCCAGAUCACAAUGAGAUCCAGCACUUCACCCUAAUGACAGUUCAUGACUCUCCUGUAGGGCUCUGAGAAAGGCAUUCUCUGGUUCAGAGUGCACUGGAGCACUCAAGCAAAAGUGGCAGACCUUGAUGAACCUUGCGGGUUUCAAUGGGUGCUUGGGGUGGUUCCAUGGGGGCAGGAGUUACACCCCCCUGGGGAAUGUAGGCACCCAUCUUGGGGCUGGUACCACCUGCACAAGUACUGGUACCACUCCUGUGGGUAGUAGAGUUCUGGAGGGUGGAUAGACAAGCUCUUAGAGCAGGAGAAGGAGUAGGGGGCUAGAAGUGGUGCAUCCUGAGAUGCUGGAGGAUAACAGAUAGCUCUUAUUAUCUCCAUAGAGUAGGCUGACAGUAGCUGAUCAUGUGUUCCUUAAUACAAUUUAGAGAUACAGGAGACCCUCGCCAUUCAUGGGAGAUACGUUUUCGUAUCCCCCAUGGAUGGCAAAAUUAAUGAAUAAGGCACUGUGUUCAUGAAUGCAGUGCCCUGGUUGCUGGGGGGGAGGGGGCACGGCUCCGGCAGCAAUAGCGGGAGCACAGCAGCAGGAGCCUGGCGGCAGCAGCAGGAACCCAGUGGCAGCAAGCGCGAAGCUCCCAAGGAACUCCUGUAAGUGUAUAAAGAGUACUUAAAAUGCAGUUUUGGCAUUUGCGAAUAUUUGAAACCGCUAAUGCCAAACCUGUGAAUAGCAAGGGUUUCCUGUACUCCUCACCCGAAAAGUCAUAAAUUUGCUAUGAUAAGAACACAUUUAGCAUGUGUUUUAUUGCUUGAAUGUGUGGUUGCUCAUGUUAAAAUGCAUUAAAUACAUAUUAAAAUCCCAUGGGACAUGACCCAUAGUUGAUGUUAUCUUAGCUUUGGUGUACCCAGCUAUGUUACAAAACCAUAGCAUAGCUUCUGACUAUGCUACUACUAUCUUCAUGUCUAUCUUAAUUAGGUAUAUUUGCCCACUUUUAAGACAAGAAACCAUUGAAAUUUACUAUUAUAUUAAUAAUCUUCAUGCCAUUAUUUUUUGUAGGUCUCUUGUGAGCUUUUUCUUUUUUUAACCUCAGAUCAUCUUUUACUCCUUAAUGGCAAGUAGUUUAUUUUGAGGAUAGAACUGACUGAGUUUUGUUUCCAUGCACUGUAUACGAUAUCUAAAAGACCUGAUGCAGAUGGAUCGAUAAGAGCUGAUUUUUAUUUAUUAUCCCAUCUUCUUCACUUUAUUUUUAUGACUCUUAAAGAUGUUCUAUCAUUGAUAUAUCAUUUUUGACUGUCUCCAAAUAAAAUGUAGUUUGGACAACA
Molecule: long non-coding RNA, 11231 nt
Organism: Alligator mississippiensis (American alligator)
Lineage: Eukaryota; Metazoa; Chordata; Crocodylia; Alligatoridae
Exons: 4
Source: RefSeq, a predicted model, not a curated record